GGGAUUGUAGUUUAUUUAUAAAACAUUUAAUUUGCAAUUAAAAAAUAUUAUUUAAUCUAUCUCA
This 64-nucleotide transfer RNA is filed under the name Hippotiscus dorsalis. Its description in RNAcentral is "tRNA-Ala". It matches the Rfam family "tRNA". Rfam says of the family: Transfer RNA (tRNA) molecules are approximately 80 nucleotides in length. Their secondary structure includes four short double-helical elements and three loops (D, anti-codon, and T loops). Lineage: Eukaryota; Metazoa; Arthropoda; Insecta; Hemiptera; Pentatomidae. The record is from RNAcentral.